UACACGCUGUGACUAGCAUAUCAAUAAGCGGAGGAAAAGAAACUAACAAGGAUUCCCCUAGUAACGGCGAGUGAAGCGGGAAGAGCUCAAAUUUGAAAUCUUAAAGGGUUUCCCUUUACGAAUUGUAGUUUAAAGAAGUGUUUUCUGUUGAGGUUUUGGUAAAAGUUCUUUGGAAUAGGACAUCAUAGAGGGUGAGAAUCCCGUAUUUGACCUUUACUUUCAACUUUGUGAUACACUUUCAAAGAGUCGGAUUGUUUGGGAAUGCAGUCCAAAAUGGGUGGUAAAUUUCAUCUAAAGCUAAAUAUUGGCGAGAGACCGAUAGCGAACAAGUACCGUGAGGGAAAGAUGAAAAGAACCUUGAAAAGAGAGUUAAACAGUACGUGAAAUUGUCAAAAGGGAAGCGUUUGACACCAGUGUUGUUUUUCUGAAAAUCAAUUAAAGAACUGUUUAUGCUAAGCUGUUUAGACUUUAUCAGCUAUCUGUUUAGUUUUGAGCUUUUCUUUAAUGCACCUUUCAGUUAACAAGUCAACAUCAAUUUCUUUUGCUGUAAAAAAGCUUGAGGAAGGUGGCUUGAGAUUCGUCUUAAGUGUUUAUAGCCUCUUGCCUAUGCAGUCGGAGAGAUUGAGGUCUGCAGCGUAGAUCCUUCGGGGCUAAAUGCAUUUGUGCUAAGUUAUAGCAUUUUAUAGACAACUUGUUGACUAUGAUUUGUCUUGUAGCUUACUCGCUUAUGUUAUUUUACCUACGCUUAGGAUGUUGACGAGACUGUCGAUCUCAUCUAUACAUGACCCUGUGCAUAUCAAUAAGCGGAGGAAAAGUUCAUGCGGAAGGCUGACCGUAAGUACCUACGCUUAGGAUGUUGAGUCGUAGAGCACGCAG
This 876-nucleotide ribosomal RNA is filed under the name uncultured Neocallimastigales. RNAcentral's name for it is "partial large subunit ribosomal RNA". It matches the Rfam family "Eukaryotic large subunit ribosomal RNA", at positions 22 to 628 of the family's 3401-position model. Lineage: Eukaryota; Fungi; Neocallimastigomycota; Neocallimastigomycetes; Neocallimastigales. The record is from RNAcentral.